This is a long non-coding RNA of Helianthus annuus (common sunflower), 2291 nucleotides long. RefSeq lists it as uncharacterized. NCBI's taxonomy places the organism in Eukaryota, Viridiplantae, Streptophyta, Magnoliopsida, Asterales, Asteraceae. The transcript is spliced from 4 exons. The record is from RefSeq and is a predicted model, not a curated record.
UUCUCUUAUACGCUUCAUUAUACUCUCUCUCUCUCUCUCUCAUUCUUCUCAUUCAAGCGGCUUCCAGGAUACGUUUCUUUUACAAAACCCUAGCAUCGGAAUCUUUAAUCGCCACCAUCGCAAUCUUGGUUUUUUGUCUGUCACCGUCACGUUUUACAAAUCCUACAGAUUCAGCAUUUGUUUGAAGGUUUAAAUCGAACAACUGAUAUGAUGCUGUUAUAUAGAAGAAGUAUAUAUUUCUUGUAAAAAGGGCACCUUCAAGUUCAUCGCAUGAAUACCGAAUCGUCUACAGUAGCAUCAUUAAAGUUUAAGUUUUGUGGGUAAUUUGGUUUGGUUUUUGUGGGUUUGAAAAAUUAGCGUUUUUGAGGGUUUGAAUUUUUUUGCUGUCUGCAAAUGUGAUUGAUGGUAAUUUGGUGGUUUUUGAGGGUUUGGUUCAGUUUUCUAGUUAAACUGAUGUUGAAUUUUGCUAAAGUUUAAGUGUUUGGGGUAAUUUGGUGGUUUUUGUAGGUUUUAAAAAUCAGGGAUUUUGAAUGAAUUAUUUUUAGUUUUUUUUUUGUUUGCUUAACUGGGUGGAGUUUGGUUUUGCUAUAGUUGAAGUGUUUGGGGGUAAUUUGGUUUGAUUUUGGUGGGUUUUGAAAUUAGGGUUUUUUAGGGUUUGGAUUGUGUGUUGUCUGCAAGCGUGAAGUGAACUGUUUUCAGUUUUAAAGGCUGUUAUGAUCAAUUUCAAUGCGUCUGAGUGAAAUUAGGCAAAGAUGAGACUGUCCGCAUCUUGGCAGGGCAACCCGAAUGGUCAUGUGGUUACACAAGACAACCCUAAGUAUGCAGCCAUGGCGGAUUUAUCCAAUCUGUUUGAUUUUUAACAAAUCUAAGCCUCAUAAUCAUUUUGUAUAGCAUAUUAAAUACCUUGGCUUUUGGAUGUUUUACCCUUUAUAAUGGAUGUUUAUGGCAUGUAAAUUGAUAUGUGUAUGCUUGGCAAGAAAGAACUAUCUGCAGGUGAAAGUCUAACAGAACCCAACUUUUUAUCACCCUACUUAUCUCAUGACCCGACACAUAAUCUCUUACACAGGCGAGCAAAAAAGGUAUAAAGUUUAUUUUCCUAUAGGUGUUUCGAUAGAUAGACUUUAUUUGUUCUUAUUUUUUUUUUGUUUUGUUUGAAUUGGUCACUUUUUAAACCGGUUAAGUUUGGUUAGAAUUAAUAUGCGUUCAGGUCAAAAUAAGUUAUUUAAGUCAGAGUGGACCUGGGUAAAAGGGAUUGCUUCAAGUAAUGAUCCGUUUUGACAUAACACCCCCGAAUGCCACCUUUUUUUUUCAGUUUUCUUAAUGAACUUGGUUUUUGAGGUCAAAUCAUUCUGAACUUAUUUGGGCCUAAAUCAAGUUGUUUUGUGUCAGAUGUAUUGUAUUACUUUGUUUGUAGCUUGCCUUAAGAAUCGCGGACGCUGCUCAACGAAUAGCGAAUGUGACAAAAGGUAACAACUGGUCAGCCAUCUUCUUUAUCGAGAUUCUACAAGUAAGUAACACUAGGUACCUAUACUUCUUCGAUAAGGGAAACACGCAAAUCACAGUUUCUUCAAUUCAUGGAAUUAUUGAAUUAGUUACAACACUUCUGAUGCUUUUUUUAGUACGAUCCGCUAUAUCCGGUCGCAAAAGGCCAAUGGCGGAGCCAAUGCAGAGAAAUUUGAGCAGAUCAAAUUGAAUGUCAUUCCAAAUUUUUUUAGGGAUGCUCACACAGAGAAAGAGGUAAUGGCAUAUCAAUUUUCUUCAUAUUGUUGUUUUUACUUUCUAUAUUACAUGUUAGAAUUUUGAUUUGAUUCUAGCCAUUGGUUGCAAGUGAGUUAUUGAUUAAGGUUAUAGGUGGCAAGACGGGUCAAAAUAUUUAUUUCGAUAAAUGUCGAACAGGGUAGACAUUGAUACUUCUGAUUACUUUGCUCUUGAUGUGCUGCUUAAUUGCCUCACUGUACUAAGUUUCGAGUUUUUGGGUAUACAACAGGUAGUCUUUGGAGGUCGGUCAAUGGGUGAUUAGGAAGAGGGAAUGAAAAACCCUGAAGAUGGAUACAAGUACUUUAAGAUAUAAGGAUCGUUGCACUCACAACGUGUGUUUAUGGAAAAUUGGAGAGCGAGUCAGAAGUAAGGUCUGAUGAAGUGAAGACAGUGGACUUGUGAAUCCCAUAAAGGAGGUUAGUUUAGCCCGGAGAUGGUUAUUUGGUUAGACUACAUGUAUACGUGUUUUGUUUAAUUAUCUACUUUAUCAAUUGGUAGUUCAAUUGUUUUGAACCAAUAAUGGUGCUACUACA